This 492-nucleotide ribosomal RNA is filed under the name uncultured bacterium. Its description in RNAcentral is "partial 16S ribosomal RNA". It matches the Rfam family "Bacterial small subunit ribosomal RNA", at positions 29 to 507 of the family's 1533-position model. The record is from RNAcentral.
AGUGAACGCUGGCGGUAGGCCUAACACAUGCAAGUCGAACGGCAGCACAGUAAGAGCUUGCUCUUACGGGUGGCGAGUGGCGGACGGGUGAAGAAUACAUCGGAAUCUACUUUUUCGUGGGGGAUAACGUAGGGAAACUUACGCUAAUACCGCAUACGACCUACGGGUGAAAGCAGGGGAUCUUCGGACCUUGCGCGAUUGAAUGAGCCGAUGUCGGAUUAGCUAGUUGGCGGGGUAAAGGCCCACCAAGGCGACGAUCCGUAGCUGGUCUGAGAGGAUGAUCAGCCACACUGGAACUGAGACACGGUCCAGACUCCUACGGGAGGCGGCAGUGGGGAAUAUUGGACAAUGGGCGCAAGCCUGAUCCAGCCAUACCGCGUGGGUGAAGAAGGCCUUCGGGUUGUAAAGCCCUUUUGUUGGGAAAGAAAAGCAGCAGGUUAAUACCCCGCUGUUCUGACGGUACCCAAAGAAUAAGCACCGGCUAACUUCGUG